This 625-nucleotide ribosomal RNA is filed under the name uncultured bacterium. RNAcentral describes it as "bacterial SSU rRNA". It matches the Rfam family "Bacterial small subunit ribosomal RNA", at positions 56 to 728 of the family's 1533-position model. The record is from RNAcentral.
UGCAGUCGAGCGAGAUCUUCGGAUCUAGCGGCGGACGGGUUAGUAACGCGUGGGAACGUACCCAAAGGUAGGGAAUAGCCACUGGAAACGGUGAGUAAUACCCUAUGUGCCCUUCGGGGGAAAGAUUUAUCGCCUUUGGAUCGGCCCGCGUUAGAUUAGAUAGUUGGUGGGGUAACGGCCUACCAAGUCUACGAUCUAUAGCUGGUUUUAGAGGAUGAUCAGCAACACUGGGACUGAGACACGGCCCAGACUCCUACGGGAGGCAGCAGUGGGGAAUCUUGGACAAUGGGGGCAACCCUGAUCCAGCCAUGCCGCGUGAGUGAUGAAGGCCUUAGGGUCGUAAAGCUCUUUCGCCUGUGAAGAUAAUGACUGUAGCAGGUAAAGAAACCCCGGCUAACUCCGUGCCAGCAGCCGCGGUAAUACGGAGGGGGUUAGCGUUGUUCGGAAUUACUGGGCGUAAAGCGCGCGUAGGCGGCUAGGUCAGUCAGAUGUGAAAGCCCCGGGCUUAACCUGGGAAUUGCAUCUGAUACUGCUUGGCUAGAGUACAGAAGAGGGUGGUGGAAUUUCCUGUGUAGCGGUGAAAUGCGUAGAUAUAGGAAGGAACAUCAGUGGCGAAGGCGGCCAC